Long non-coding RNA from Cucumis sativus (cucumber), 1006 nucleotides. RefSeq lists it as uncharacterized. Lineage: Eukaryota; Viridiplantae; Streptophyta; Magnoliopsida; Cucurbitales; Cucurbitaceae. The transcript is spliced from 3 exons. The record is from RefSeq and is a predicted model, not a curated record.
GAAAGAGAAGGAGCAGGAAGGAAGUAAUAAGCAUUUUCGGUGCACCUUUAAUAUUGUGAUAAAAACCAUCACCACCAAACUCAUUACCCAUCCAUUUCUCAGUUAAUUUUCGGAGCAUUUUCGAGGGGAAGAAGUUGAGAGAAGAAGAAGUCUGGAAGUUUUGGGCCGGAGAAGACAAGGAAAUUCAACAAGUCUCUGGUCUUUUGUUGAUUCCAAGAGCUGCACAAAAAGCUUAUUUGAGAAUGGUUUUAAGAUGAGAAAGAGUGAUAUUAUGCUCUUUAUUAAGAUUUGCAAGGCUACCAAACCCAAUUAAUCUGAAGAAGAAAAUUAUUGCAACCGUGAGAUUUGGAAGAAAAAGAAAAAUAGGGAAAGAAGAAGAGGAAGCACUAGAAGAGUUAAGGUAUGAAAAAUAAAGCAAAACUCCCCAAUUGUAUUGGCAAACCCCUCCAAGUGUCCUAAGCCUACUAGGCCAGGUUUCAAGGUUUAAUAUAUAACUCUUCAAUUCAGAAGUUUACGUGAAAUCAUUCUUUUUUUUUCGCCGGUUUUCUGUGCUCGUUCUCUUUCUUUUCUUUUUAUUUUCUUUCUUUCUUCUUUUUGGGAUUUUCUUUCCGAGUGGAUCAAUUAGCGUAAAGGUGGAGAUAGAUUCACGUUUAACAAAACCCCAAAACUCAUUUAAGAAUAAGAAGAAGACGAAGAAAAAGAAAGAAUAAACAAAGGAAAGAAACGAAAAGAAAGCUUCCUCGAAAAAACGGUGAUUUCACGCAAAAUUCUGAAUUGAAGAAUAUAUAUAAAACCUUGGAACGUGGCCUAAUAUGAUUAUGAAAUGUGGAGAGUCUGCAGGGAAGUUUUGCUCUUUUAUUUAAUAUAUUAAUUUUAUGUUGAAUAGCAACCUCAACUUAUUCGAUAGUUUAAAGAAUUUAUGAAUUUUAUUCAAUUAAAUGUUUUUAGAAGAUAAAAUUAAAUUUUUAUUACUUAAUUCUUAUAUGUUCAAGAUUUACCAUCAAAA